This is a non-coding RNA of Pelobates cultripes (western spadefoot toad), 204 nucleotides long. Lineage: Eukaryota; Metazoa; Chordata; Amphibia; Anura; Pelobatidae. The record is from the annotation of a GenBank genome assembly.
GCCAUGACACCCAAGAAGUGAUGUGGUUUGUGUAUUGUUUCUUCUCUUUUGUUUUUGGUUUCUACUGUAGUGAAAAUCCUGAACAGAGCAUCUGCAUUUUGGUUUCUUGUCCCAGGCGAUACAUGACAGGAAAAAGGAACCUGUAGAAGAACAAUGCCCAAUGAGCCUAAUGUGAAUUUAGACGUUUGGCAGUGCAUAGAUACU